GAAAUUGAAAUAAUGACUAAAGUGCAAUACGCGCGAAUGUUCAGGGAUCAAAUCUGAAAAUAUUCCAGAUCCCAAAACAUGGCGUUUAGACGCGGACUAAACUGAAAAGACAUGCAAAUUUUAGGACAAAUUUGAAAUAAAUUAAAAUGUAACUAAGGAUCAAUUAAAAGUCUGCGCGAAGGCGAAGGAUUAGCCGUGCAAAUUGACCAUUCGAAGCGCCAAAGCACGGAUCCAGCCUAUGGAUCGGGCUUGCGCGCGGAUCUUCCCCCCCUCUACACGGCACCGUUUCAAACUCUAUACAAAGUCAAGCCUAAAAAAAAACCUAAAAUCAAUCAUUCAGCCACUUUAACAAAAUCAAAAAAAAAAAAACUAAACUAAACCUCUCCUUAUUCAUUCGGCUGAACCAUGAACCUUCUGCCCAGCCACCACACGUUACCGUGACCGGUGAUUGGCGGUGAGCGAAGCCCGUUCUAAACCGAUUAAAGCCACAUAUGCCAAUUUCAACCCCGAAAUCCUCACUUAGACUUCGAUUUAGACGAAGAAGAUGAGGACUCCGAAGGCGAACUCUCAAUGGUAAACCCUCUAUUUUUUUAGAUUCGUCGAAUAGAUUCAAAAUAAAGUAAAAAAAAAACAAGAAUAAGAGCAGAGAAAUAAUCUACGAAUCACCUUUGGUAAACUCUUUUUGAAUUGAUUUCUUUUUUCAUAUAUGCGUCUGUUCUCUCUAUUUUACAUCGUUUCAUUCAGUUUUAUAGCCAAAAUAAAUAAAAUAAAUAAAUAAAAAGAAAUCCAAAUUUCAUUGCUGUCAUUUGUUGCUAUUUGCUGUCCAUUGCUUGUGGUUGUUUUCGUUUGUUAGUCUGUUGCAGGUACAGCUAGAGGGUGGCGCGUGUGGAGGCCAUUAUGGGGGUGAAGCGUGAAGUCACUGGUGGCUGCUUGCGGCCCGAGGGUAGACGGGGCUAGGGUUUGCUUCAAGCAUGGUUUGGGCUUAGGGUUUAUUAUUCUUUUGGGUCUGCUUGUAAAAUUUUGGGCUUAAUUUUAUUAUUGGGUAUUGGGUUUUGUAAUGGGCUAAGGGGUUAUAGACUGUUUUAUUGAUUUUUAUUAUUUUUUGGUUUUUUUGCAUUUAGUUUAUAAGUCUAAAGGCCCGGGUGAAAUGGGCCUAUUACAAAUAUAAAUUAUAAAAAAUUAAAAUUUUAUUCGGCCCUCCCUAAAUAUUUAUUCUGGCUUCGCCCAUGCUUUAUAGAUGGGUAGAUAUGUAGAUGUCCACAUAUAUGAACUCGGGUUUAACAUUUUUAAUUUGAGUCGAGCUAAGGCAAAACUUUAAACUUAUUUUCCAAGCAGGAUUUGAGCCUAAAAUUUUGUAUGGACCCAAUCCAUGAUCAAGUUUAAUGAUUUAUUUUACUAAAUUUGAUUUACUUUAUAUGAAAAGAGAAGACUAAAAUUUAUAAUAUAAGCAUCUAAAUUUUCUUGGAUUCUCAAUUCUCAACAAGUUUAAGAACAUUGGGC
Molecule: long non-coding RNA, 1500 nt
Filed under: Gossypium barbadense (sea-island cotton)
Lineage: Eukaryota; Viridiplantae; Streptophyta; Magnoliopsida; Malvales; Malvaceae
Description: long non-coding RNA (GBAR_LNC005968)
Source: RNAcentral